Molecule: ribosomal RNA, 468 nt
Filed under: uncultured bacterium
Lineage: Bacteria
Description: partial 16S ribosomal RNA
Rfam family: Bacterial small subunit ribosomal RNA
Source: RNAcentral
GACGAACGCUGGCGGCGUGCUUAACACAUGCAAGUCGAACGGAAAGGCCCUGCUUUUGUGGGGUGCUCGAGUGGCGAACGGGUGAGUAACACGUGAGUAACCUGCCCUUGACUUUGGGAUAACUUCAGGAAACUGGGGCUAAUACCGGAUAGGAGCUCCUGCUGCAUGGUGGGGGUUGGAAAGUUUCGGCGGUUGGGGAUGGACUCGCGGCUUAUCAGCUUGUUGGUGGGGUAGUGGCUUACCAAGGCUUUGACGGGUAGCCGGCCUGAGAGGGUGACCGGCCACAUUGGGACUGAGAUACGGCCCAGAAUCCUACGGGAGGCAGCAGUGGGGAUUAUUGCACAAUGGGCGGAAGCCUGAUGCAGCAACGCCGCGUGCGGGAUGACGGCCUUCGGGUUGUAAACCGCUUUCGCCUGUGACGAAGCGUGAGUGACGGUAAUGGGUAAAGAAGCGCCGGCUAACUACGUG